GACGAGCGCUGGCGGCGUGCUUAACACAUGCAAGUCGAACGGUGAAGCGCCUUCCUUUUUGGUGGGUGUGGAUGAGUGGCGAACGGGUGAGUAACACGUGAGUAACCUGCCCCCUUCUUCUGGAUAACCGCAUGAAAGUGUGGCUAAUACGGGAUAUUCUGGGUCUGUCGCAUGAUGGGUCUGGGAAAGAUAUUGUUUCGGUGGGGGAUGGGCUCGCGGCCUAUCAGCUUGUUGGUGGGGUGAUGGCCUACCAAGGCGGUGACGGGUAGCCGGCCUGGGAGGGUGGACGGUCACACUGGGGCGGAGACACGGCCCAGACUCCUACGGGAGGCAGCAGUGGGGAAUAUUGCACAAUGGGCGCAAGCCUGAUGCAGCGACGCCGCGUGAGGGAUGGAGGCCUUCGGGUUGUGAACCUCUUUCGCCAGUGAAGCAGGCCUGCCUCGUUUGUGGGUGGGUUGACGGUAGCUGGAUAAGAAGCGCCGGCUAACUACGUG
This 494-nucleotide ribosomal RNA is filed under the name uncultured bacterium. Its description in RNAcentral is "partial 16S ribosomal RNA". It matches the Rfam family "Bacterial small subunit ribosomal RNA", at positions 28 to 507 of the family's 1533-position model. The record is from RNAcentral.